Molecule: ribosomal RNA, 477 nt
Filed under: uncultured bacterium
Lineage: Bacteria
Description: bacterial SSU rRNA
Rfam family: Bacterial small subunit ribosomal RNA
Source: RNAcentral
AUUGAACGCUGGCGGCAUGCCUUACACAUGCAAGUCGAACGGUAACGGGCCUUCGGGUGCCGACGAGUGGCGAACGGGUGAGUAAUGUAUCGGAACGUACCUUUCAGUGGGGGAUAACGUAGCGAAAGUUACGCUAAUACCGCAUAUUCUGUGAGCAGGAAAGCAGGGGAUCGCAAGACCUUGCGCUGAUUGAGCGGCCGAUAUCAGAUUAGCUAAUUGGUGAGGUAAAGGCUCACCAAGGCGACGAUCUGUAGCGGGUCUGAGAGGAUGAUCCGCCACACUGGAACUGAGACACGGUCCAGACUCCUACGGGAGGCAGCAGUGGGGAAUUUUCCGCAAUGGGCGAAAGCCUGACGGAGCGACGCCGCGUGGAGGAAGAAGUAUUUCGGUAUGUAAACUCCUUUUGUCAGGGACGAAACAAAUGACGGUACCUGAAGAAUAAGCAUCGGCUAACUACGUGCCAGCAGCCGCGGUAAU